This 503-nucleotide ribosomal RNA is filed under the name uncultured bacterium. RNAcentral's name for it is "partial 16S ribosomal RNA". It matches the Rfam family "Bacterial small subunit ribosomal RNA", at positions 30 to 523 of the family's 1533-position model. The record is from RNAcentral.
AUUGAACGCUGGCGGCAGGCUUAACACAUGCAAGUCGAGCGGGGUGAUGGUGCUUGCACUAUCACUUAGCGGCGGACGGGUGAGUAAUGCUUAGGAAUCUGCCUAUUAGUGGGGGACAACAUCUCGAAAGGGAUGCUAAUACCGCAUACGUCCUACGAGAGAAAGCAGGGGAUCACUUGUGACUCUGCGCUAAUCGAUGAGCCCAAGUAGGAUUCUAUAGUUGGUGGGGUAAAGGCCUACCACGGCGACGAUCUGUAGCGGGUCUGAGAGGAUGAUCCGCCACACUGGGACUGAGACACGGCCCAGACUCCUACGGGAGGCAGCAGUGGGGAAUAUUGGACAAUGGGGGGAAUCCUGAUCCAGCCAUGCCGCGUGUGUGAAGAAGGCCUUAUGGUUGUAAAGCACUUUAAGCGAGGAGGAGGCUCUUUUGGUUAAUACCCAAGAUGAGUGGACGUUACUCGCAGAAUAAGCACCGGCUAACUCUGUGCCAGCAGCCGCGGUAA